AUCUUUCACGUUCCUGUGUGUGAAGACUGUGACUAUUCAUACCAUUGUGUGAGAUGUACCUCCCUAAAACUUUAUUACUACAUUGGCACAUGACUUAUCUGUCA
Molecule: small nucleolar RNA, 104 nt
Organism: Cavia porcellus (domestic guinea pig)
Lineage: Eukaryota; Metazoa; Chordata; Mammalia; Rodentia; Caviidae
Rfam family: Small nucleolar RNA U13
Source: Rfam